RNAcentral lists this ribosomal RNA (253 nucleotides) under uncultured prokaryote. RNAcentral describes it as "partial 16S ribosomal RNA". It matches the Rfam family "Bacterial small subunit ribosomal RNA", at positions 525 to 777 of the family's 1533-position model. The record is from RNAcentral.
ACGGAGGGGGCGAGCGUUAUUCGGAAUUACUGGGCGUAAAGGGCGCGUAGGCGGCCUUCUAAGUCGAACGUGAAAUCCCCGGGCUCAACCCGGGAACUGCGUCCGAUACUGGAAGGCUUGAAUCCGGGAGAGGGAUGCGGAAUUCCAGGUGUAGCGGUGAAAUGCGUAGAGAUGUGGAGGAACACCGAUGGCGAAGGCAGCCUUCUGGGCCAAUACUGACGCUCAUGCACGAAAGCGUGGGGAGCAAACAGGA